UACGUAGGGUGCGAGCGUUGUCCGGAAUUAUUGGGCGUAAAGAGCUUGUAGGCGGUCUGUCGCGUCUGCUGUGAAAAUCCGGGGCUCAACCCCGGACUUGCAGUGGGUACGGGCAGACUAGAGUGCGGUAGGGGAGACUGGAAUUCCUGGUGUAGCGGUGAAAUGCGCAGAUAUCAGGAGGAACACCGAUGGCGAAGGCAGGUCUCUGGGCCACUACUGACGCUGAGGCGCGAAAGCGUGGGGAGCGAACAGG
RNAcentral lists this ribosomal RNA (253 nucleotides) under uncultured bacterium. RNAcentral describes it as "partial 16S ribosomal RNA". It matches the Rfam family "Bacterial small subunit ribosomal RNA", at positions 524 to 776 of the family's 1533-position model. The record is from RNAcentral.